This 530-nucleotide ribosomal RNA is filed under the name uncultured bacterium. RNAcentral describes it as "bacterial SSU rRNA". It matches the Rfam family "Bacterial small subunit ribosomal RNA", at positions 355 to 896 of the family's 1533-position model. The record is from RNAcentral.
UGGGGAAUAUUGCACAAUGGGCGGAAGCCUGAUGCAGCGACGCCGCGUGGGGGAUGAAGGCCUUCGGGUUGUAAACUCCUUUCGACAGGGACGAAGCUUUCGUGACGGUACCUGUAUAAGAAGCACCGGCUAACUACGUGCCAGCAGCCGCGGUAAUACGUAGGGUGCGAGCGUUGUCCGGAAUUACUGGGCGUAAAGAGCUCGUAGGUGGUUUGUCGCGUCGUCUGUGAAAUUCCGGGGCUUAACUCCGGGCGUGCAGGCGAUACGGGCUGACUUGAGUGCUGUAGGGGAGACUGGAAUUCCUGGUGUAGCGGUGAAAUGCGCAGAUAUCAGGAGGAACACCGAUGGCGAAGGCAGGUCUCUGGGCAGUAACUGACGCUGAGGAGCGAAAGCAUGGGUAGCGAACAGGAUUAGAUACCCUGGUAGUCCAUGCCGUAAACGGUGGGCGCUAGGUGUAGGGGGCUUCCACGUCUUCUGUGCCGUAGCUAACGCAUUAAGCGCCCCGCCUGGGGAGUACGGCCGCAAGGCUA